GAAGUUUUCAGAGAUGAGAGUGUGCCUUCGGGAACCGUGAGACAGGUGCUGCAUGGCUGUCGUCAGCUCGUGUUGUGAAAUGUUGGGUUAAGUCCCGCAACGAGCGCAACCCUUAUCCUUUGUUGCCAGCGGUCCGGCCGGGAACUCAAAGGAGACUGCCAGUGAUAAACUGGAGGAAGGUGGGGAUGACGUCAAGUCAUCAUGGCCCUUACGACCAGGGCUACACACGUGCUACAAUGGCGCAUACAAAGAGAAGCGACCUCGCGAGAGCAAGCGGACCUCAUAAAGUGCGUCGUAGUCCGGAUUGGAGUCUGCAACUCGACUCCAUGAAGUCGGAAUCGCUAGUAAUCGUGGAUCAGAAUGCCACGGUGAAUACGUUCCCGGGCCUUGUACACACCGCCCGUCACACCAUGGGAGUGGGUUGCAAAAGAAGUAGGUAGCUUAACCUUCGGGAGGGCGCUUACCACUUUGUGAUUCAUGACUGGGGUGAAGUCGUAACAAGGUAACCGUAGGGGAACCUGC
RNAcentral lists this ribosomal RNA (522 nucleotides) under Salmonella enterica subsp. enterica serovar Livingstone. RNAcentral's name for it is "partial 16S ribosomal RNA". It matches the Rfam family "Bacterial small subunit ribosomal RNA", at positions 993 to 1515 of the family's 1533-position model. RNAcentral also lists the same sequence under 1 other name. Lineage: Bacteria; Pseudomonadati; Pseudomonadota; Gammaproteobacteria; Enterobacterales; Enterobacteriaceae. The record is from RNAcentral.